RNAcentral lists this ribosomal RNA (770 nucleotides) under Allocetraria stracheyi. RNAcentral describes it as "SSU rRNA". It matches the Rfam family "Bacterial small subunit ribosomal RNA", at positions 248 to 1003 of the family's 1533-position model. Lineage: Eukaryota; Fungi; Ascomycota; Lecanoromycetes; Lecanorales; Parmeliaceae. The record is from RNAcentral.
GUAGUUAGGAUUUCAAGCCUAACCAGCUGUAUGCACGUAGUCGUAACUGAAAGGUUGAUCGACCACAGUGGGCCUGAAUAAAGCCCAUGACGAUUGUCACAGCAGUGAGGAAUAUUGGUCAAUAGCCUAACGGCUGAACCAGCAACUUGGAGGAAUGUAUAGCAAUAGCUACUAGCAUCAUAGUAAUAUGAUGUAAGAUCGACUAUGUUGAAUAAAAUUCUAGGUAGAAUUAUGAUAAUGACAUUAUCUGCCUAUGUGUCUUGACCAAAUUACGUGCCAGCAGUCGCGGUAAUACGUAGAAGACUAGUGUUAUUCAUGUUUAAUCGGUUUAAAGGGUACCUAGACGGUAAAUCAAGCCUAAUAAGAAAGAAUGGAAGGGACUAAUUUACUAGAGUUACUUAUGAGGGGGCUAUAAUGUACAGCUGGUGUAGAGAUGAAAUCUAUCAUACCUCUUUUCAAUAGAAAAAAUGAAGGCACAGGUAUAGGCGAAAGCAUCUCCUUAUGUGAUAACUGACGUUGAGGGACGAAGGCUUUGUGUAGCGAACAGGAUUAGAUACCCCAGUAGUCUUAGCAGAAAAUGAUGAAUGUCAUAGAUUAGAUAUAUAAGUUUAUUCUAUAAAUGAAAGUGUAAGCAUUCCACCUCAAGAGUAAUUUGGCAACAUUGGAACUGAAAUCAUUAGACCGUUUCUGAAACAGUAGUGAAGUAUGUUGUUUAAUUUGAUAAUCCGCAAAAAACCUUACCACAAUUUGAAUAUUUAUAUCUUUUAUUG